Molecule: ribosomal RNA, 208 nt
Filed under: uncultured bacterium
Lineage: Bacteria
Description: partial 16S ribosomal RNA
Rfam family: Bacterial small subunit ribosomal RNA
Source: RNAcentral
UGCGUAGGCGGCGCGGUAAGUCGGGUGUGAAAUCUCGGAGCUUAACUCCGAAACUGCGUUCGAUACUGCCGUGCUUGAGGACUGGAGAGGAGACUGGAAUUUACGGUGUAGCGGUGAAAUGCGUAGAUAUCGUAAGGAAGACCAGUGGCGAAGGCGGCAUCCUGGACCAAUACUGACGCUGAGGAGCGAAAGGCCAGGGGAGCAAACG